AUAGCGUAUAUUAAAGUUGUUGCAGUUAAAAAGCUCGUAGUUGAACUUCAGACCUGGCUGGGCGGUCAGCUUAACAGCGUGUACUGUCUGGCUGGGCCUUACCUCUUGGUGAGCCGGUGUGCCCUUUAUUGGGUGCGUUGGGGAACCAGGACUUUUACCUUGAGAAAAUUAGAGUGUUCAAAGCAGGCCUAUGCCCGAAUACAUUAGCAUGGAAUAAUAAAAUAGGACGUGUGGUUCUAUUUUGUUGGUUUCUAGAGUCGCCGUAAUGAUUAAUAGGGACAGUCGGGGGCAUCAGUAUUCAAUUGUCAGAGGUGAAAUUCUUGGAUUUAUUGAAGACUAACUACUG
RNAcentral lists this ribosomal RNA (346 nucleotides) under uncultured eukaryote. RNAcentral's name for it is "SSU rRNA". It matches the Rfam family "Eukaryotic small subunit ribosomal RNA", at positions 594 to 945 of the family's 1831-position model. The record is from RNAcentral.